This 126-nucleotide small nuclear RNA is filed under the name Suricata suricatta (meerkat). Its description in RNAcentral is "U2 spliceosomal RNA (ENSSSUG00005013890.1)". It matches the Rfam family "U2 spliceosomal RNA". From Rfam's summary of the family: U2 is a small nuclear RNA (snRNA) component of the spliceosome (involved in pre-mRNA splicing). Complementary binding between U2 snRNA (in an area lying towards the 5' end but 3' to hairpin I) and the branchpoint sequence (BPS) of the intron results the bulging out of an unpaired adenosine, on the BPS, which initiates a nucleophilic attack at the intronic 5' splice site, thus starting the first of two transesterification reactions that mediate splicing. The record is from Rfam by way of RNAcentral. Lineage: Eukaryota; Metazoa; Chordata; Mammalia; Carnivora; Herpestidae.
AUCGCUUCUUGGCCUUUUGGCUAAGAUCAAGUGUAGUAUCUGUUCUUAUCAGUUUAAAAAAAGGUAAGCCAAAAAAAUGAACUGAAAUUCCCCAAAAGAAGACAUAUGAAUGGCCAAAAAGCACAU